GACUAACGCUGGCGGCGUGCCUAACACAUGCAAGUCGAACGAGUUGUUUAUAGUAGCAAUAUUGUGAACAGCAAGUGGCGAACGGGUGAGUAACACGUAGAUAAUCUGCCUUUCAGACGGGGGACAACUCAGGGAAACUUGUGCUAAUACCCGAUGAGACUACGGGAGGGGACUUUCGUAGCCAAAGGUGGGGGCAACCUCACGCUGAAAGAUGAGUCUGCGUCCUAUCAGCUAGUUGGUGGGGUAAAAGCCUACCAAGGCGAAGACGGGUAGCCGGCCUGAGAGGGUGAACGGCCACACUGGGACUGAGACACGGCCCAGACUCCUACGGGAGGCAGCAGUGAGGAAUUUUCCGCAAUGGGCGCAAGCCUGACGGAGCGACGCCGCGUGAGGGAUGACGGCCUUCGGGUUGUAAACCUCUUUUAUUAGGGAAAAAGGCAAUCGUGCUAAUACCACGGUUGUUUGAUGUUACCUGUUGAAUAAGCCCCGGCUAACUACGUG
This 501-nucleotide ribosomal RNA is filed under the name uncultured bacterium. RNAcentral's name for it is "bacterial SSU rRNA". It matches the Rfam family "Bacterial small subunit ribosomal RNA", at positions 28 to 507 of the family's 1533-position model. The record is from RNAcentral.